UUGCAGCCAGUUAAGCUGACCAAGUCCCUUUUCCCAUGGGGGCUUGGUUUGCAGCUUGUUGUCUAUAUAGGUUGUCCUGAGGGACCUUGCAGACAAUU
Molecule: small nucleolar RNA, 98 nt
Filed under: Meriones unguiculatus (Mongolian gerbil)
Lineage: Eukaryota; Metazoa; Chordata; Mammalia; Rodentia; Muridae
Description: Small nucleolar RNA SNORA70 (ENSMUGG00000003805.1)
Rfam family: Small nucleolar RNA SNORA70
About the family: snoRNA U70 seems to be exclusive to mammals and is a member of the H/ACA class of snoRNA which contain H (ANANNA) and ACA box motifs. H/ACA box snoRNAs are involved in the conversion of uridines to pseudouridines (5-ribosyluracil) a constituent of structural RNAs (transfer, ribosomal, small nuclear, and small nucleolar).
Source: RNAcentral